Lysinibacillus sphaericus OT4b.31 is the source of this 186-nucleotide non-coding RNA. The record is from Rfam. Lineage: Bacteria; Bacillati; Bacillota; Bacilli; Caryophanales; Bacillaceae.
UUGUGAGGUAGAGGCGCGAUAUUUAUUAGUUCAUUGUUGAGUUUAAGCAAGCGAGGACGCAAUGAAGAAGGAAAUGUCGCCGAAGCAUAAAAGGAGCUCGUACUUUUAUGCUGGGUCUGCAGUGAAUAAGUGCAGGACUGUCCUAGUAAAUAUAAUUCCAGUUUACUAGGUUGUGCUAUCUCGGAA